AGCCUAACAGCUAGCUCACCCCCCAAAACACAACAACACACUAUUAAUAACCCCUAAUAACCUCACACACCCUAAACAAAUCAUUUUUCCCCCUUAGUACGGGCGACGGAAAAGGACAGAACGAAGCGAUAGCAGUAGUACCGCAAGGGAACGCUGAAAGAGAAGUGAAAGAAAUCAGUAUAAGCGCAGAAAAGCAGAGCUUAGAUCUCGUACCUUUUGCAUCAUGGUUUAGCAAGAAAAUAUCAAGCAAAGAGCACUUUAGUUUGACUCCCCGAAACCAAGUGAGCUACUCCAAGACAGCCUAUUAAGGGCGUACCCGUCUCUGUGGCAAAAGAGUGGGGAGAGCUUUGAGUAGAGGUGACAGACCUACCGAACUUGGUUAUAGCUGGUUGUCCAAGAAUUGAAUAGGAGUUCAGCCUUUUGCCCUCUCCCCCCAACAUCCCCGCACGCUUUAAGCGCCUGAGAAGACAAAAGAGUUAGUCAAAGGGGGUACAGCCCCUUUGAAACAGACACAACUUUCCUAGUAGGGUUAAAAUCAAACAACAGCAGGGAAUGUGUUUUUGUUGGCCUAAAAGCAGCCACCCAUGAAGAAAGCGUUAAAGCUCAUACACCCCCCCCCCCACCCAUUAUUUUGAUUAUAAUAUUUCACCCCCCUAAAACACACUGGACCUCUCCAUCCUCAUGGAAGAGAUCAUGCUAAUAUGAGUAAUAAGAGACCAAGACUCUCUCCCCGCACAAGUAUAAAUCGGAACGAACCCCCACCGAGAAUUAACGGCCUCAAGGAAGAGGGAACUGGAAAAUUAUGCAUAUACACUAGAAAAGCAUCCACACUAUAUUACCGUUAACCUCACACUAGAGUGCUUACAAGGAAAGACUAAAAGAAGAAGAAGGAACUCGGCA
RNAcentral lists this ribosomal RNA (900 nucleotides) under Apogon semiornatus (oblique-banded cardinalfish). RNAcentral's name for it is "partial 16S ribosomal RNA". The stretch from base 192 to 900 matches the Rfam family "Bacterial large subunit ribosomal RNA", at positions 568 to 1719 of the family's 2925-position model. The record is from RNAcentral. Lineage: Eukaryota; Metazoa; Chordata; Actinopteri; Kurtiformes; Apogonidae.